RNAcentral lists this ribosomal RNA (253 nucleotides) under uncultured bacterium. RNAcentral describes it as "partial 16S ribosomal RNA". It matches the Rfam family "Bacterial small subunit ribosomal RNA", at positions 524 to 776 of the family's 1533-position model. The record is from RNAcentral.
UACAGAGACUGCGAGCGUUAUUCGGAUUCACUGGGCGUAAAGGGUGCGCAGGCGGCCAAGUGUGUGAGGCGUGAAAGCCUGGGGCUUAACUCCAGAAUUGCACCUCAAACUACAUGGCUAGAGCAUUGGAGAGGGUAGCAGAAUUCACGGUGUAGCAGUGAAAUGCGUAGAGAUCGGGAGGAACAUCUGUGGCGAAGGCGGCCACCUGGACCAGCACUGACACUGAGGCACGAAAGCGUGGGGAGCAAACAGG